RNAcentral lists this ribosomal RNA (514 nucleotides) under uncultured bacterium. RNAcentral's name for it is "bacterial SSU rRNA". It matches the Rfam family "Bacterial small subunit ribosomal RNA", at positions 153 to 644 of the family's 1533-position model. The record is from RNAcentral.
GAAAGCGAUGCUAAUACCGGAUGACAUCUCAAUAACUCCGGUCUUUGAGAUCAAAGGUGGCCUCUCCAUGGAAGCUACUGUUUGGAGAUGAGCCCGCGUACCAUUAGCUUGUUGGUAGGGUAAUGGCCUACCAAGGCGACGAUGGUUAGCUGGUCUGAGAGGAUGAUCAGCCACACUGGAACUGACACACGGUCCAGACUCCUACGGGAGGCAGCAGUGAGGAAUUUUGCGCAAUGGGGGAAACCCUGACGCAGCAACGCCGCGUGAGUGAUGAAGGCUUUCGGGUCGUAAAGCUCUGUCAAGUGAGAAGAACCUGUCCUUUGCUAAUAUCACUGGGCACUGACGGUAUCACUGAAGGAAGCACCGGCUAACUCCGUGCCAGCAGCCGCGGUAAUACGGAGGGUGCAAGCGUUAUUCGGAAUCACUGGGCGUAAGAGCGCGUAGGCGGGUUUCUAAGUCAGAUGUGAAAGCCCGGGGCUCANCCCCGGAAGUGCAUUUGAACUUAGGGACUUGA